UAAUACCAGCACCCCGAGUGGUCGGGACGAUUAUUGGGCCUAAAGCAUCCGUAGCUUGUUCUGCAAGUCCUCCGUUAAAUCCACCUGCUCAACAGAUGGGCUGCGGGGGAUACUACAGGGCUAGGAGGCGGGAGAGGCAAACGGUACUCAGUGGGUAGGGGUAAAAUCCACUGAUCCACUGAAGACCACCAGUGGCGAAGGCGG
RNAcentral lists this ribosomal RNA (204 nucleotides) under uncultured ammonia-oxidizing archaeon. RNAcentral describes it as "partial 16S ribosomal RNA". It matches the Rfam family "Archaeal small subunit ribosomal RNA", at positions 471 to 675 of the family's 1478-position model. The record is from RNAcentral.